CAGUGCCGCGGUAAUACGAAGGGUGCAAGCGUUACUCGGAAUUACUGGGCGUAAAGCGUGCGUAGGUGGUGGUUUAAGUCCGUUGUGAAAGCCCUGGGCUUAACCUGGGAAUUGCAGUGGAUACUGGGUCACUAGAGUGUGGUAGAGGAUAGUGGAAUUUCCGGUGUAGCAGUGAAAUGCGUAGAGAUCGGAAGGAACAUCUGUGGCGAAGGCGACUAUCUGGGCCAACACUGACACUGAGGCACGAAAGCGUGGGGAGCAAACAGGAUUAGAUACCCCCGUAGUCCCUGUCUCUUAUACA
This 301-nucleotide ribosomal RNA is filed under the name uncultured bacterium. RNAcentral's name for it is "partial 16S ribosomal RNA". It matches the Rfam family "Bacterial small subunit ribosomal RNA", at positions 509 to 808 of the family's 1533-position model. The record is from RNAcentral.